Molecule: ribosomal RNA, 432 nt
Filed under: uncultured bacterium
Lineage: Bacteria
Description: partial 16S ribosomal RNA
Rfam family: Bacterial small subunit ribosomal RNA
Source: RNAcentral
AACGAACGCUGGCGGCAUGCCUAACACAUGCAAGUCGAACGAGACCUUCGGGUCUAGUGGCGCACGGGUGCGUAACGCGUGGGAACCUGCCCUUAGGUUCGGAAUAACUCCCCAAAGGGGUGCUAAUACCGGAUAAUGUCUUCGGACCAAAGAUUUAUCGCCUUUGGAUGGGCCCGCGUUGGAUUAGCUAGUUGGUAGGGUAAAAGCCUACCAAGGCGACGAUCCAUAGCUGGUCUGAGAGGAUGAUCAGCCACACUGGGACUGAGACACGGCCCAGACUCCUACGGGAGGCAGCAGUGGGGAAUAUUGGACAAUGGGCGAAAGCCUGAUCCAGCAAUGCCGCGUGAGUGAUGAAGGCCUUAGGGUUGUAAAGCUCUUUUACCCGGGAUGAUAAUGACAGUACCGGGAGAAUAAGCUCCGGCUAACUCCGUG